UCAGUCUAUUGGUCAAUGUUAUUCUACAAAC
Molecule: non-coding RNA, 31 nt
Filed under: Rattus norvegicus (Norway rat)
Lineage: Eukaryota; Metazoa; Chordata; Mammalia; Rodentia; Muridae
Source: RNAcentral